GCAGAAUCCCGCGAACCAUCGAGUCUUUGAACGCAAGUUGCGCCCGAGGCCAUCCGGCCGAGGGCACGCCUGCCUGGGCGUCACGCGAAAAGACGCUCCAAAACCCCCUCCCGGGGACGGAGGACGCGGCGUCUGGCUCCCCGUGCCGCAGGGCGCGGUGGGCCG
RNAcentral lists this ribosomal RNA (165 nucleotides) under Diandrolyra bicolor. Its description in RNAcentral is "5.8S ribosomal RNA". The stretch from base 1 to 83 matches the Rfam family "5.8S ribosomal RNA", at positions 74 to 154 of the family's 154-position model. Rfam says of the family: 5.8S ribosomal RNA (5.8S rRNA) is a component of the large subunit of the eukaryotic ribosome. It is transcribed by RNA polymerase I as part of the 45S precursor that also contains 18S and 28S rRNA. Functionally, it is thought that 5.8S rRNA may be involved in ribosome translocation. The record is from RNAcentral. Lineage: Eukaryota; Viridiplantae; Streptophyta; Magnoliopsida; Poales; Poaceae.